UACGUAGGGGGCAAGCGUUGUCCGGAAUCAUUGGGCGUAAAGCGCGUGUAGGCGGCCCGGUAAGUCCGCUGUGAAAUCCCGGAGCUCAACUUCGGAACUGCCUUUGAUACAGCACAUCUGGAGUCCGGAAGAGGUGGGUGGAAUUCCUAGUGUAGAGGUGAAAUUCGUAGAUAUUAGGAAGAACACCGGUGGCGAAGGCGGCCCACUGGUCCGGUACUGACGCUGAGGUGCGAAAGCGUGGGGAGCAAACAGG
RNAcentral lists this ribosomal RNA (253 nucleotides) under uncultured bacterium. RNAcentral describes it as "partial 16S ribosomal RNA". It matches the Rfam family "Bacterial small subunit ribosomal RNA", at positions 524 to 776 of the family's 1533-position model. The record is from RNAcentral.